Molecule: ribosomal RNA, 484 nt
Filed under: uncultured bacterium
Lineage: Bacteria
Description: partial 16S ribosomal RNA
Rfam family: Bacterial small subunit ribosomal RNA
Source: RNAcentral
AUUGAACGCUGGCGGCAGGCCUAACACAUGCAAGUCGAGCGGAUGAAGGGAGCUUGCUCCUGGAUUCAGCGGCGGACGGGUGAGUAAUGCCUAGGAAUCUGCCUGGUAGUGGGGGAUAACGUCCGGAAACGGGCGCUAAUACCGCAUACGUCCUGAGGGAGAAAGUGGGGGAUCUUCGGACCUCACGCUAUCAGAUGAGCCUAGGUCGGAUUAGCUAGUUGGUGGGGUAAAGGCCUACCAAGGCGACGAUCCGUAACUGGUCUGAGAGGAUGAUCAGUCACACUGGAACUGAGACACGGUCCAGACUACUACGGGAGGCAGCAGUGGGGAAUAUUGGACGAUGGGCGAAAGCCUGAUCCAGCCAUGCCGCGUGUGUGAAGAAGGUCUUCGGAUUGUAAAGCACUUUAAGUUGGGAGGAAGGGCAGUAAGUUAAUACCUUGCUGUUUUGACGUUACCAACAGAAUAAGCACCGGCUAACUUCGUG